GGGGACCUAGUAAAUAUCAUUACAUGACCUUGUCAUGGUCAAAUAACAGCACCAUGUGGCCCCCA
RNAcentral lists this transfer RNA (65 nucleotides) under Boa imperator. RNAcentral describes it as "transfer RNA-Asp". Lineage: Eukaryota; Metazoa; Chordata; Lepidosauria; Squamata; Boidae. The record is from RNAcentral.